UGCAUGCACUACUCCGUGCCUGCCCUUGUCUGACUGCAAGGGACCAGGGGCAGGAUAACAAAAGAAAGUAUAAAUAGAGUCUUUUUAAAAGCCUGUUAAAUAGAAAUAGACUUCUAGGGAGGAGAGAGAAAGAAUGAGGCGUGUUACCAUAGUAACUGCCAAUGGUUUAUUUAAGAAGGGCAAAGAAACAAACACCACAAAAAGGCGAAGUCAAGAGGAGUUGAAGAUUGCUGAAGGAAUCUGUCAGGAUACGGACACAGAGGGGCCAGAGCAUAACAAAAGGACAGCCAAUAGCCCAGGAGCCCUGUUAAAAAAUUCUUAAGGGAUGUUGGCAUGAAAUUCUGACUCUAGUGAAUAUCCCAUGGUGGACAUUUGAAAGUAAAAGACAGCUGCUUUUAGAGCACGAGACACGUGCUCCAUGCUCUCUCAUGUAUGUUCUCUCAGAUAUGGGCGCUGAAGAUAUCCU
Long non-coding RNA from Aquila chrysaetos chrysaetos, 466 nucleotides. RefSeq lists it as uncharacterized. The transcript has 3 exons. NCBI's taxonomy places the organism in Eukaryota, Metazoa, Chordata, Aves, Accipitriformes, Accipitridae. The record is from RefSeq and is a predicted model, not a curated record.